GGGUUUUGAUUCCAUUCGGUGAGACGAGAAUCCUCUCUUGAGCUAAGGAUGAGGAUCCUCCUGAUCAUGAAAUCCGGACCGUUCAACGGCUCUAAAUAGAGGGUCCUCUAAAAAGUUAUAAUAAUUGCAAUCGUUGAAUUAAAAUUGAACGGCUCGAAUUUCGUGAUCAGGAGGAUUCAUCCUAUGCUCCGAGAGGAUCCUCUUCCCCAUUCGGUGGAACAGUAAGGAGAGCUUUGGAAUUCCAUUCCGCUGCUCAGGAAUCCCAACUUUUCAUCGUCAAAGUUAAUUUGUGGUGGUUGCUUUGAAUUAUUCAGCAUGUCGUCCUUAAGGAAUGCUGUUAGCCGACGGGCUCACAAGGAACGAGCUCAACCGAGAGUGACCACAUUCCGUUCGCUGGUAGACUUUCGCAUAAUGUUGUUUUGCAUCAGAUGAUGGGAUUAAUGUUUUUGUGUUUUGGGUCCAAAUUUUUUAUAGGGAAUCGAUGAAAAAAUUUGGGCUUCUUGAAAGCGUGCGGAGGAGACUUUACGGAGACUCAAGGAGAAACCCUUCUUCAGAAACCCAGAUGAGUUCAACUUCAAGAUGGCCAAGACACGAACUGUUGAUGGAGUCCAUAAAUUAGAGAGUUGGGCAAACAAGUACACUCCAGAAGAGCUCCUGCUUAUGAAGACCCAAGAUAUUGGAUACAUAUUUCAGAAAGUGCAGAGUGAGAAAAAGGUUAUAAAUACGUAUAUCAUGAAGCUAUGGUUUACCGAUUGGUUUUUGAAAUUAACAUGUUGGUUAUAAUUGUGUAGUUAAUUAAUUUAGAAAACUGAAAAGUUAACUGCAAUGCUGCACUCUCUUGAUAAUCGGCCUUCAAGUAGACAUGUUUACUUUACUGAAGACAGGUUUGAGCUUCCUUCAAAUCUUCUGUCCUCGGAGAAUUUUAAUUCUGUAUUAGUGGAUUUUUUUUUAUUUUUUAACUUUUCGUUGCUGUUAUUUGUAUUCAGACUUCGAUCUGGUGAAAGAUGAUUUUCACCAUUUUUCAGUUCUUUGUUAUCCCUUAUUAUCCCCAGAGGUUGCGUGUUUCCAUUGUUCUAAUUGAUUUUGUUAUGUAUAUUUUCUUAUAUUCAUUGAGUUUGUUUUGUCAUCAGUAGGCACAAGUAUCUGGAGUGAUCUGUUAACCCCUUUUUCCAAGCAAACACACAACACACAACACAAACAUAUAUCUGGUGUACAUGAACCCCAACGUUCAUAUGCACGCAUACACUACACACAUUGAAAAGGAACUGUAACAAAUGGGAAGAUGUAUACAUAAAACUUGUGUGUUUCUCCUGAUCCUGUUUUGGACUUAUAUGAAAUGCUUUUCAUCCUGUUUACUUGAGUAUAUUUACAAAAAAAAUUAUGGCCCCGAAAAAGGGGACAUAGAAAUACCAUGAUACAAGUGACUACAAGUGUGUUAUUACAAAUCUGCAAACUGCUUCCUUUCAGGCCCAUGUACUUAUAGUAAUUCUGAUUCUGUUGAAAGUAGAUCCUCAUGGCUUCGACUGGGGACACUAGGCUAAUUUCUUAGUGUUGUUAAUUGUUUCUUGGGAAGACAUUAUUAUUCAAUUCUUCAAAUGGGGGUAUGAUCUAUAAUGUUAUUAAAUUCAUGUGAGACCACUCCGUGUGAAAGAGUAGGGAAGAAAAGUAGUUUCUUAACUUCUCAUCAUUUAUGUUCCCAUUUGCCAAAUAUUUUAUCUUGUUUUGCACAUUUUUAGAAAUAAGUUUUAUCGUGUUAAUUAUUUUUUUGGCAGGAAGGAAGCUAGAGAAAUUCAAUCACGUCCAAAAAGUGGAAAAAUGCCGGUUUCUGAGGACAUUCCUGAUCAUAUAAAAAGGAAAACAGCUGGUUCCUACAGAGAGCUUGAAGGAAGGAGGAAGAGAGUCAAUGAGUUGGAGAAAAUUUAUAUGGACAUGGCAAUGCAGAAGGAAUUACAGAAAAGGGGUAAAAACCGCAAAGUAUGUGAAGAUGAGAUUGUCUCCCCAACAUCCAACGCUGUAUGCAAGUGGCGGGCAGAGCGGAAGCGUUAAAAGGAAUGAGGCUGCUAUAGAUACCUAGGACCCCGGAAAAAAGUCUGGACCUGACGUACCAUGACUUUCCAUGUAACGGAAGUUUUGAUCUGCAUAUGAACAUGUCACAAGUGAUAUAGUCAGAUAUAUAUUUGCUUGCUUUUAGGGAAGAAGCAACUGCGUUUUUUUUUUGUCUCUGGUAGUCUGACCCUAGCGGGAUUUAUAACAAACUGACAUUCUUGUCGUUUAUUAAUAUCAUCAGUAUUAAGCUC
Pyrus x bretschneideri (Chinese white pear) is the source of this 2297-nucleotide RNA transcript. It is a transcript of the gene named probable U3 small nucleolar RNA-associated protein 11, with no coding region annotated. The record is from RefSeq and is a predicted model, not a curated record. Lineage: Eukaryota; Viridiplantae; Streptophyta; Magnoliopsida; Rosales; Rosaceae. The transcript is spliced from 7 exons.